This 549-nucleotide long non-coding RNA is filed under the name Elaeis guineensis (African oil palm). RNAcentral's name for it is "long non-coding RNA (EGUI_LNC079884)". Lineage: Eukaryota; Viridiplantae; Streptophyta; Magnoliopsida; Arecales; Arecaceae. The record is from RNAcentral.
AUUGAUAAUUGAUCUAAUGCAAAUGUUGCAUUAUGUAACUUACUAAAGAGUUAGUGAGUUAUAGGAGGAUUAAUUAGUAAUAAGAUUGCUAAUUGGUUUAAUUUGAUUGAGCAAUGGGGCUUGCAUCAAGUCCAAUUUGAUUGGAUUUAAUUUGACUCAUUAUGGGUUUGAUGUGAUCAACCCCAAUAGGAUUAUAGGAUAACCCCAAAAGGAUCGGAUGAUUAGUCCCAGUUGAAUUAGGAUUUGGGUUUGACCCAAUUCUUAAUUAGACUAGGAUAUAUGAAUUUCUUUUUGGACUAGGAAUCCUUAUUUUCUUGGGUGCACUAAAUCCUAAUUGGAUUAUAAUUAAAAAAUUGAGUUUGACUCAAGCACCAAGAAAGAGUCCAAUAGGACUAGGACUCCUCCAUUUAGGAGACAUCUAAUCUAAAUUAAUUGGGCUCCAAAUCAGAUUUGGAUUCCUAUUUAUUUGAGUCUAAUCUGGUCCUAAUAUGAUUAGGAUUAAUUGAUGUUUUAAUUGGAUUUAAAACAGCAAUUUAAACAAGAGUCCCA